UAUGAUUCGCUGGUGGAUAACUGUGCCUU
This 29-nucleotide non-coding RNA is filed under the name Rattus norvegicus (Norway rat). The record is from RNAcentral. Lineage: Eukaryota; Metazoa; Chordata; Mammalia; Rodentia; Muridae.